Long non-coding RNA from Podarcis raffonei (Aeolian wall lizard), 3125 nucleotides. RefSeq lists it as uncharacterized. The record is from RefSeq and is a predicted model, not a curated record. The transcript is spliced from 2 exons. NCBI's taxonomy places the organism in Eukaryota, Metazoa, Chordata, Lepidosauria, Squamata, Lacertidae.
UGUAAAUCAGAACAAUCCAUAUGCACUCAAAUAUCUGCAGUUUUCAGGAGUGUUAGAUUCUGCACUUGGAAUUCUUAUUUAGCUAAAAGAUGUGUAAAAACAUAUGCAGGCAGACGGUUCUUUGGCAGCACACCUGAAGAAGAUCAAGCAUGUAAAUGAUUGCUUAUAAGUCCAAUAGUAACUCACGUUCACUAAAGAAGUUCCAGAGCUCUCUUUGGAGUAUGGUGGAAAUAAUUUAUUUGUUUUGUGGAAAGUACGCUUUCACAGCUAAGCAACAUAGCUUUAGGGAAUAAAUACCAAUGACAUAGUCACAUAGGACCUAUAAUCCAAUUAUUAUUUUUUUAAAUGGUAGCAGAACAAUCCUGACAUAAAACUAAUGCCAAGAGGAGUGUAUCAUGCAUUUCAAAAUGUUUUCCUAAUACAUCAGAUCUGAGAAGUGAAACUAAGAAGGGAACUGAAAACUUGAGUCAUAUUGUAAAUCCAUGGACUUUUCUAUACACCAGGAAGAAAGACACCAUGAGCUUUGCUGAUAGGACCAUUAAGUCUUAAUUUGUGAAUCCCCUCCUGGUCAGCAAUAUGUAUACUUUUUCUGGUCAGCAGUCCAUUAUGACAAAUCUGACACCUCUCCAGGCAGCAGGAGUCAGAUUUGUCAAAAUUCUGAUGGCCUCAAGCCUGUUAUUUCCUAACUGACACAACUAAUUUUUUAAAUAAUUAACUUGCACAGCUAAGUAUGACCACCAUUCAUAUAUCUGAAGUCUUCUUGAGCAGUUGUUGUUUACUAAUUACAACAAAUGCACAAACAGAGGAAUAGCCACAAAUGAUUUUUUUUUCUUUACAAGGAGAAUGUUAAGAGGCAAGAUGUGUUUUCUGUAUUCCCCAAACUUUCUAACCAGCACACCUACCUGAAAGUGGGUAAUGAGUGUCAGCCUUGCAAAGGAAUAAUUUCUAGAGAAAGAAGAGUCUAGGCCUGCAAAUCACUCUCUGAGUACCCCUGUUCCCCACAAUACUGGAAGCAGGGGGCUGGACAUGAAGCCACCUAGUGGUGAGGGAAAUAUAUUAUAUCCAUACCCACAUGGAGUAUAGUCUUCAUAAUUUCACACACUCCAGCAAAAAGCAAAGGGCAGAGGGAACAUUUUUGAAGGUCUGCAUCAACCUGACUGUUUCACUGAAAUAAGCUGGCUAUUGCAAACGGUUGUGAAUUUGUCCUUUAACACUGAGCAUAUAUGGCAGCAAAACUUCACAUUAAAAAUACUUACAGUGGUACCUCGGGUUAUGAACUUAAUUCGUUCCGGAGGUCUGUUCUUAACCUGAAACUGUUCUUAACCUGAAGCACCACUUUAGCUAAUGGGGCCUCCUGCUGCCGCCGCACGAUUUCUGUUCUUAUCCUGAAGCAAAGUUCUUAACCCGAGGUACUAUUUCUGGGUUAGUGGAGUCUGUAACCUGAAGUGCCUGUAACCUGAAGCAUCUGUAACCCGAGGUACCACUGUAUUCUGCUUAAAUCUUUCUUUUACAUGGGACUCACAAUGGUCUGAGCAGUUCAGUUUCAGCAAUAGUGCAACAACAGAUGAUUCCCAGGUCUUGGACAACACCCAUUUCCAUAGUACUGGCUGAGGGAUUUGAAGCAGCGCUCUGUGGUACGGAGGCAAGCUGUGCAUCAUCUUGAUCCUAUUCCUGGCUAUUUAAUUUGCAGCGAACACAGCGCUUCAACCAGCACCUUCCUGAGCUCCGCUUGAUGGAUAAUUGCAAAGGAGACAAACGGAGAAUGAAGACUUUGUUUUUGUUUUUCCCCUCCAAAUCACAAAGGCUUAAAAAAGCAACUGCACACUUCCUACUCGACCUGAAGGCCUUUGCCCAUGGGCAAGGUGAAGGAAAGCACUUUGUUUAAAAGGAGUGUUGGGGGAAGAGCGGGUCACAAUACUGAGAUCGAUCAAAGUCUAGCAUUUCUAUCUUAUCUAUUUGGAAUCGUAUAAUUUGAGAAUUAAGAUGCCCCUAAGCUUCGCUCCUCCCCACCAUCAAAUUACAUUCAAUCAUGGCAUGCAGAAAAGCGGUCCAUGAGUUAGCAGCCAGAUGUUAUCAUUACAGGCCUUUGCUUAUAAACCGAUGCUGAAACCUGAGUGGUUGAUGAGGCUAGCUAAGCAGUUGUACCUUUGACCUGAUUGCAUUAAACUUGCCCUAUCAAUUUAAGCUUAGUAUAAACACCAUUUCCCAGAGUCCCUCAUGACUUCGGUGGUGAGAAGAAGCUGACUAAGCCUAAACAUUUUUUAACAGCAAUCUUGUCUUACAACACCAAGGGGAUUUGCUAUGUAUCUGGGGCUUUAUAAAACCAUAUGAACAUGCUGAAAGAAUUAAAGUCCUUUAAAAAAGAAAAAUUGAUGGUGACAGUCCUUUCUGAAAACCAGUAUGUAGGAUGUCAGCACAACUUGGAAACUAGCCUAAUAUAGUUUUAAAGAAUAAGAUGGAUUUGUGUACAUUUCAAACAGUUGCUCCUCAACUUUUUUUUUUAAAAAAAUACAACCUUUUUCAAAUCAUUAGCAUUUAUUUUGAACUAAACUAGAUCCCCCGCCCCAUUCCCCGUCCUGGGAAGGAGAUAGUGGUUGACAUAUCUCCUCAGUAUUAUAUGAUAUUUCAGAGUCUCUUUACAGUCUAGAAGUAGUGCAUAUUUUUCCUGCCACAUUAUUAUUUUUAAAAUGCACAUUACUCCCAAAUAGCUAUUUUCAAAUGAACUGAAGUUGCAGAAAGAUUUCUACAAUUAAUACCACAUUUUUUUGUAUUGUAUAAGGCUGAUAAUGUUUCAACACUUAACAAGACAUGUAAGAUUAGCAACCUUCCCCCAAAGAUGAAACACAGAGGGUUUAAAAGACAGCAGGUUACUAGGUGUUCUAUGCCCUCUUGAUCUGAGCAUAUAAGAAAUUAGAAGAAGAUCGGAGGCUGGUGAUCAUGUCGCUAGAAUUUUAGAUGUGGUUUACGGAAUAGCAAUGCUUUAAAAUCAUGCCAAUAUAUUAGCAGUUUUGUUCAGUUCAAGGAUAGUUCUGGAGUGCCUGCUCUACAUAUUGAUACAGAGAGAAAACUUUCAAUUCUGCGCUACCUUAAAAAACUGACAGUAUAAAUAAUAAAUUGUUGUUGUU